AGAGCGAACGCUGGCGGCAGGCCUAACACAUGCAAGUCGAACGGACCCUUCGGGGUUAGUGGCGGACGGGUGAGUAACACGUGGGAACGUGCCUUUUGGUUCGGAAUAGCUCCUGGAAACGGGUGGUAAUGCCGAAUGUGCCCUUCGGGGGAAAGAUUUAUCGCCAUUAGAGCGGCCCGCGUCUGAUUAGCUAGUUGGUGAGGUAAUGGCUCACCAAGGCGACGAUCAGUAGCUGGUCUGAGGAGGGAUGAACCACGCCACAGUUCGGGACUGAGACCACCGGACCCAAACCUCCGUACGGGAGGCAGUCAGGUGGGGAAUUCUUGCGCACGUGGGACGAAAGGCCUAGGACCGCA
This 356-nucleotide ribosomal RNA is filed under the name uncultured soil bacterium. RNAcentral's name for it is "bacterial SSU rRNA". It matches the Rfam family "Bacterial small subunit ribosomal RNA", at positions 26 to 427 of the family's 1533-position model. The record is from RNAcentral.